This is a long non-coding RNA of Myotis brandtii (Brandt's bat), 543 nucleotides long. RefSeq lists it as uncharacterized. The record is from RefSeq and is a predicted model, not a curated record. Lineage: Eukaryota; Metazoa; Chordata; Mammalia; Chiroptera; Vespertilionidae. The transcript is spliced from 3 exons.
GGGCGGCCCGGGCCCCACGCUCAGCUUCGUGGGCAAGCGCAGAGGCGGAAACAAACUAGCCCUCAAGACGGGAAUAGUAGCCAAGAAGCAGAAGACGGAGGAUGAGGUAUUAACAAGUAAAGGUGAUGCAUGGGCCAAGUACAUGGCAGAAGUGAAAAAGUACAAAGCCCACCAGUGCGGUGAUGAUGAUAAAACUCGGCCCCUGGUGAAAUGACCCCCUUCCCCCGUCUGCCCACGGCCUGGGACUCUCUGCGAUGUACAUAACUAUUUAAUGCGGCAGCGGCGGCGGCGGCAGCCCUUCCCCCCAAGGACUUAAACACAGAAGGAAACCAAGAUGCUUCCCGCAGCCGCGGACGAUCCUCCAGGACUCUUUUUUACCUUGAGCACUUGCCUCCUGAGACUUCAUAGAACAGUGGUUUACUGUCCCCUCUCUUCCCACCUCCUCGCUCUCUCUGGCUCUUUCUGUCUUCCUUGUCUCGCCCUCCCUUCCUCCUUCCCUUAGCCAUCACUUCUGGGAAGUAAAGAACUUGACUUAGUGCCGGA